RNAcentral lists this transfer RNA (78 nucleotides) under Armillaria gallica. It matches the Rfam family "tRNA". Rfam says of the family: Transfer RNA (tRNA) molecules are approximately 80 nucleotides in length. Their secondary structure includes four short double-helical elements and three loops (D, anti-codon, and T loops). Lineage: Eukaryota; Fungi; Basidiomycota; Agaricomycetes; Agaricales; Physalacriaceae. The record is from Rfam by way of RNAcentral.
UCCCUCUUAGCUCAGUUGGUAGAGCGCGUCACUAGUAACGCUAUGACGAGGUCAGUCGUUCAAAUCGGCUAGCGGGAA